UGGGGAAUAUUGCACAAUGGAGGGAACUCUGAUGCAGCGACGCCGCGUGAACGAAGAAGGCUUUCGAGUCGUAAAGUUCUUUUAUAUGGGAAGAUAAUGACGGUACCAUAAGAAAAAGCCCCGGCUAACUACGUGCCAGCAGCCGCGGUAAUACGUAGGGGGCUAGCGUUGUCCGGAAUCACUGGGCGUAAAGGGUUCGCAGGCGGAAAUGCAAGUCAGGUGUAAAAGGCAGUAGCUUAACUACUGUAAGCAUUUGAAACUGCAUAUCUUGAGAAGAGUAGGGGUAAGUGGAAUUUUUAGUGUAGCGGUGAAAUGCGUAGAUAUUAAAAAGAAUACCGGUGGCGAAGGCGACUUACUGGGCUCAUUCUGACGCUGAGGAACGAAAGCGUGGGUAACAAACAGG
Molecule: ribosomal RNA, 403 nt
Filed under: Fusobacteriota bacterium
Lineage: Bacteria; Fusobacteriati; Fusobacteriota
Description: Fusobacteria bacterium partial 16S ribosomal RNA
Rfam family: Bacterial small subunit ribosomal RNA
Source: RNAcentral